CCUCAUCACUGUCUGUUUUUUUCUUCUUUUUAUUCCAAACCAAGACGAGGACGGUGAAAUCGCUAAUCUCGUGGCAUCAAUCGAGACUAUAAAAAUCAAUGCCGUCUACGACGACACCUCACAAACCUGUUGGGGUUACCACAGCAGGUUCAUCCCAGCCUGGAGACACUUCCGUACACGACACGCCGGACAGUUUUUCCUUCGGAUCUUGUCAAUGAUGCAGUCGUUUCUCCCAGCGCACAGGGUUUUAAGCUCAAGC
Oreochromis aureus is the source of this 259-nucleotide long non-coding RNA. RefSeq lists it as uncharacterized. The transcript has 3 exons. NCBI's taxonomy places the organism in Eukaryota, Metazoa, Chordata, Actinopteri, Cichliformes, Cichlidae. The record is from RefSeq and is a predicted model, not a curated record.